RNAcentral lists this transfer RNA (67 nucleotides) under Ochlerotatus ashworthi. RNAcentral's name for it is "tRNA-Leu". The record is from RNAcentral. Lineage: Eukaryota; Metazoa; Arthropoda; Insecta; Diptera; Culicidae. RNAcentral also lists the same sequence under 23 other names.
UCUAAUAUGGCAGAUUAGUGCAAUGAAUUUAAGCUUCAUAUAUAAAGAUUUUUAUCUUUUAUUAGAA